CGAGUUCCCGUACGAUCACCGAUGUUAAGCAACGUCGAGCCUGGUCAAUACCUAGAUGGGUAACCGCUUAGGAAUACCAGGUACUGUAAG
Acanthosepion pharaonis is the source of this 90-nucleotide non-coding RNA. NCBI's taxonomy places the organism in Eukaryota, Metazoa, Mollusca, Cephalopoda, Sepiida, Sepiidae. The record is from the annotation of a GenBank genome assembly.